This 73-nucleotide transfer RNA is filed under the name Clostridiales bacterium. Its description in RNAcentral is "tRNA-Thr". It matches the Rfam family "tRNA". From Rfam's summary of the family: Transfer RNA (tRNA) molecules are approximately 80 nucleotides in length. Their secondary structure includes four short double-helical elements and three loops (D, anti-codon, and T loops). Further hydrogen bonds mediate the characteristic L-shaped molecular structure. tRNAs have two regions of fundamental functional importance: the anti-codon, which is responsible for specific mRNA codon recognition, and the 3' end, to which the tRNAs corresponding amino acid is attached (by aminoacyl-tRNA synthetases). tRNAs cope with the degeneracy of the genetic code in two manners: having more than one tRNA (with a specific anti-codon) for a particular amino acid; and 'wobble' base-pairing, i.e. permitting non-standard base-pairing at the 3rd anti-codon position. The record is from RNAcentral. Lineage: Bacteria; Bacillati; Bacillota; Clostridia; Eubacteriales.
GCUGCUGUAGCUCAGAUGGUAGAGCACUUCAUUGGUAAUGAAGAGGUCAGCGGUUCAAUUCCGCCCAGCAGCU